GAGUUUGAUCCUGGCUCAGGAUGAACGCUGGCGAGAUGCUUUACACAUGCAAGUCGUACGAAAGUUUUUAACUCUAGUGGCGGACGGGUGAGUAACACGUGAGAAUUUGCCUUUAGGAAGGGGACAACUGCUAGAAAUUGCUGUUAAUACCCCAUAUGCUUUCGAGUGAAAUGGAUUUUUCCGCCUAGAGAGAAGCUUGCGGCUGAUUAGCUUGUUGGUGAGGUAAUGGCUUACCAAGGCGACGAUCAGUAUCUGGUUUGAGAGGAGGAUCAGACACACUGGAACUGAGACACGGUCCGGCCUCCUGCGGGAGGCACCAGUGGGGAAUUUUCCCCAAGGGGCAAAACCCUGACGGAGCAAUCUCCCGUGAGGAAUGACUGCCUAUGGGUUGUAAACCUCUUUUUUCAGGGAGGAAUAAAAGAUGUGUACCUGAAAAAUAAGCAUCGGUUAACUCCGUGCCAGCAGCCGCGGUAAUACGGAAGGUCCAAGCAUUAAUCAAAAUUAAUGGGCGUAAAGCCCGCGUAGGUGGUUUUUUAACUUGGAUGUGAAAGCCCUGGGCUCAACCUAGGAACUGCAUCCAAAACUAGAUGACUAGAAUACGAAGGAGGGAAGUAGAAUUCACAGUGUAGCUGAGGAAUGCAUAGAUAUUGUGAAGAAUACCCAUGGCGAACGCUCCUUCCUGGUUCUGUACUGACACUGAGGUGAGAAAGCGUGGGUAGGGAACAGGAAGAGAUACCAUGGUCCUCCACGCCGUAAAUGAUGACAACUAUGCUGUUGCUCACACUAGAUCUCUCAGUGGCGCAGCUAACGCUUUCAGCCUGUCCGGCCUGGGGGAGUACGGCCGCAAGGUUAAAACUCAAAUGAAUUGACGGGGGGCCGCACAAGCGGUGGAGCAAGUGGUUUAAUUUGAUGCAACGCGAAAAGCCUUACCUACUCCUGACAUACUUGGAAGCUCUUGUAAUGAGAGGGAGCUCUUUGAGGCAAGAUACAGGUGGUGCAUGGCGGUCGUCAGCUGGUGUCGUGAGAAGAUGGGGUAAGUACCAUAACGAGGGCAACCCUCCCCCUUAUUUGCCAGCGGUUCGGCCGGGAAUUAUAAAGGGACUGCCGGUGCCAAACCGGAGGAAGGGGAGGAGGAGGUCAAGUCAUCAUGGCCCUUACGAGUAGGGUUACCCACGUGUUCCAAUGGGGAAUACAAAAGGACGGUAAAGCCAGAGGUGGUGUUAAUUCUAAAAAAUUUCUUAUAGUCCGGAUUGCAGUUUGCAAUUCGACUGCAGGAAGUGGGAAUCGUUAGUAAUCGUGAAUCAGCAUGUCGUGGUGAAUACGUUCUCGGGUCUUGUACACACCGCCCGUCACACCAAGGAAGUGUGUCGCACCAGAAGUAGGUAGUUUAACCUUAGGGAAGGCGCUUUCCACGGUGGGAUCCAUGACUGGGGUGAAGUCGUAACAAGGUAACC
This 1454-nucleotide ribosomal RNA is filed under the name uncultured marine eukaryote. RNAcentral's name for it is "bacterial SSU rRNA". It matches the Rfam family "Bacterial small subunit ribosomal RNA". The record is from RNAcentral.